CACCGGGUAAAAGGACAGCAGCGUAAUGUACUGCCAGGUAAAGCCAGUGGCCGUGACCGAGGUGGCGAAGUGUCUGUCUGUCGCGCUGUGUCAUUAAUGUUUAACACUAAGGGACUGGAGUCACCGGACAUAUGAAAAGUCAUGUGAGAAACUGCACUUUACUGAACUGAAGAAAGACAACAUUCACAUCAGACAACGGGAGAGAUGGACAUGAAACAUCUAACGUGUUAGUUUAAAUGAAGACGCUUUGUUGUUUAAGGAGAUACACUUAGAACAAACUACACAAGUGGUGGGGAUGGGGAGAAUUCUGGGCUAUCUGCUGAUCGGCUCAGCACUCUGUAUGGGCGUGGUCAGUCUAACCCUAAGCUACACCUCCAGGGUCAGAGUUCACAAAGGGAGGAGCCUCACACUGCACUGCAUGAACACAACACAUGCAGGAGGGGUCCAGUACUGGCAGACCCCAUUCGGUCAGGUCCUGAACAGCAGUCUUCAUGCCAACCAGAAAGAUGUGGUUACUAUGCAACAAGAUGGUAGCCUGCAGAUCCACAUUGCCUCUCCUCACCACAGCAGCCUGUACUACUGCCUCCUACUGACCGGAGGACAAACUACACUCAUCCUACCUGCUGAGUGCCAGCAGUCCCAUGGUUUCUGACGGUGUGUUUGUGGAGGCGGUGACGGCAUCAGUAGUGGUGACGUUCCUGGUGGGGUUCAGCUCUGGAGCUCUAAGCAGGAGUCUACUGGACUUUAUCUACCUAUAUUAAAUAUUUAUUAAACUGUUCAGUAUUUUACUUCAUGUUAGAUGGUUCCUCAUCCUGAAAGUAGAAUAUAGGCCAGGAGAAACUAAAUCAUGGUUUUCUGAAAUUUUUGUUAUUGUUUAAAUAAAACCGAACCAUGCAUUAGUUUCUCUUGGCCCAUAGACUGCUUUCAGAGUGAAAGUAGUCUAGUUGUAAAACUCUGAACUUUCCAUUUAAACAUCAUCAACAAUAAAUACAGAUACAUUUUACCAGCACUCCUAAGGUGUGUGAAUUGGGUGCGGUCGCUAGGACAGGAACGUCGUAACCAUGGUGAAACAGUCAGCGUGGCAUUCCGGCAGGAUGUGGAACAAGAGGAUGACUCUGCCUCGACGACAAGCAUUAUCAUGGAUAAAGUCAGCCCAUCUCCACCGGCCAAAACUCAGAGAGGCUUCAGGGGGAAAAUGUCAUGAAGAGAACAGUACUUAUCCCCCGCCCCCUGGGCCAAGCAGUGCUCGCUGUCCCUCACCAGGCUCAACACCAUCAUGGCUGCUGCCAGCGCCGGCCCCCUCGACACCCAGAGCCCCCCGGGUAGAGACUCCGACCCCCAGGACUCAGACCCUGACGAAAGGGACACAGCCAGUCCAUCCCAGGGCCAGGAGAAACCAGUCUUUCAACUUGAGAUGUGACAUACAAGAUCUGGGCCUGUAUUCAUAAAGCGUAUGGCUGCUGAUAAAUUAUCCCAUCCUGACCGGUUCAUAUAAAUCUUAAUCAUUACGAAUUAAAAGGCAAAACUGUUUCUAGAUCAGCCCUCCUAGUCUUGAUAAAUGCAGCCCCUAAGCAGAAAGAUCAGGGUCAUGUUCAAUAGAGCAUACAGACACACCGUACCAAAAUGGUUUGGAACAGAAAACAAAAAUGAGUGUUUCUUACUGGAGAACUUUAACAGAUAGUGCCUUGCCAUUUCACUCCAUUGUAAAACAUUUACUCAAUCACAAAUUCCCAGACAAAUUUAAGAUUUUGACUUGUCAUCAAAUCCAGCGG
This 1772-nucleotide long non-coding RNA is filed under the name Salmo salar (Atlantic salmon). RNAcentral describes it as "lncRNA (ENSSSAG00000114709.1)". Lineage: Eukaryota; Metazoa; Chordata; Actinopteri; Salmoniformes; Salmonidae. The record is from RNAcentral.